CUUCGGAUAUGAGUAGAGCGGCGAACGGGUGAGUAACGCGUAGGAAUGUACCUAGUAGAAGGGGAUAGCCCGAGGAAACUCGGAUUAAUACCGUAUACCUCCUUCGGGAGAAAGAGGGCCUCUCUUUGAAGCUUUCGCUACUAGAUCAGCCUGCGUAAGAUUAGCUUGUUGGUGAGGUAAUGGCUCACCAAGGCUACGAUCUUUAGCUGGUCUGAGAGGACGAUCAGCCACAUUGGGACUGAGACACGGCCCAGACUCCUACGGGAGGCAGCAGUGGGGAAUAUUGGACAAUGGGCGCAGGCCUGAUCCAGCCAUACCGCGUGUGUGAAGAAGGCCUUCGGGUUGUAAAGCACUUUAAGCAGGGAGAAAAAAAUAUAGGUUAAUACCCUAUGUUCUUGAUGUUACCUGCAGAAUAAGCACCGGCUAAUUCCGUGCCAGCAGCCGCGGUAAUACGGAAGGUGCAAGCGUUAAUCGGAAUUACUGGGCGUAAAGCGCGCGUAGGUGGUUUGUUAAGUUGGAUGUGAAAGCCCUGGGCUCAACCUAGGAACUGCAUCCAAAACUGACUGACUAGAGUACGAUAGAGGGAGGUAGAAUUCAUAGUGUAGCGGUGGAAUGCGUAGAUAUUAUGAAGAAUACCAGUGGCGAAGGCGGCCUCCUGGAUCUGUACUGACACUGAGGUGCGAAAGCGUGGGUAGCGAACAGGAUUAGAUACCCUGGUAGUCCACGCCGUAAACGAUGACAACUAGCUGUUGGGAGGCAAUGCCUUUCAGUGGCGCAGCUAACGUUUUAAGUCGUCCGCCUGGGGAGUACGGCCGCAAGGCUAAAACUCAAAUGAAUUGACGGGGACCCGCACAAGCGGUGGAGCAUGUGGUUUAAUUCGAUGCAACGCGAAAACCUUACCUGCUCUUGACAUACUU
RNAcentral lists this ribosomal RNA (917 nucleotides) under uncultured marine bacterium. RNAcentral describes it as "bacterial SSU rRNA". It matches the Rfam family "Bacterial small subunit ribosomal RNA", at positions 78 to 991 of the family's 1533-position model. The record is from RNAcentral.